This 253-nucleotide ribosomal RNA is filed under the name uncultured bacterium. RNAcentral's name for it is "partial 16S ribosomal RNA". It matches the Rfam family "Bacterial small subunit ribosomal RNA", at positions 524 to 776 of the family's 1533-position model. The record is from RNAcentral.
UACGAAGGGGGCUAGCGUUGUUCGGAAUUACUGGGCGUAAAGGGCGCGUAGGCGGCGUGUCAAGUCAGGCGUGAAAGCCCCGGGCUCAACCUGGGAACCGCGCUUGAGACUGGCAUGCUCGAGUUCGGGAGAGGAUGGUGGAAUUCCCAGUGUAGAGGUGAAAUUCGUAGAUAUUGGGAAGAACACCGGUGGCGAAGGCGGCGAUCUGGACGAUGACUGACGCUGAGACGCGAAAGCGUGGGGAGCAAACAGG